This 424-nucleotide ribosomal RNA is filed under the name uncultured bacterium. RNAcentral's name for it is "bacterial SSU rRNA". It matches the Rfam family "Bacterial small subunit ribosomal RNA", at positions 29 to 454 of the family's 1533-position model. The record is from RNAcentral.
AUUAAACGCUGGCGGCAUGCCUUACACAUGCAAGUCGAACGGCAGCACGGGGGCAACCCUGGUGGCGAGUGGCGGACGGGUGAGUAAAGCAUCGGAACGUAUCCUGGAGUGGGGGAUAACGUAGCGAAAGUUACGCUAAUACCGCAUAUUCUGUGAGCAGGAAAGCAGGGGAGUCGCAAGACCUUGCGCUCUGGGAGCGGCCGAUGUCGGAUUAGCUAGUUGGUGGGGUAAAGGCCUACCAAGGCGACGAUCCGUAGCGGGUCUGAGAGGAUGAUCCGCCACACUGGGACUGAGACACGGCCCGGACUCCUACGGGAGGCAGCAGGUGGGGAAUUUUGGACAAUGGGCGGAAGCCUGAUCCAGCCAUGCCGCGUGAGUGAAGAAGGCCUUCGGUUGUAAGACUCUUCGUCGUGGAAGAAGUACG